CGGGGAACAGGCAGAGCAUGG
This 21-nucleotide microRNA is filed under the name Populus trichocarpa (black cottonwood). RNAcentral describes it as "ptc-miR408-5p". Its record names the gene ptc-miR408-5p. Lineage: Eukaryota; Viridiplantae; Streptophyta; Magnoliopsida; Malpighiales; Salicaceae. The record is from miRBase by way of RNAcentral. RNAcentral also lists the same sequence under 1 other name.